RNAcentral lists this ribosomal RNA (587 nucleotides) under uncultured bacterium. RNAcentral's name for it is "partial 16S ribosomal RNA". It matches the Rfam family "Bacterial small subunit ribosomal RNA", at positions 355 to 1376 of the family's 1533-position model. The record is from RNAcentral.
UGGGGAAUUUUGGACAAUGGGCGCAAGCCUGAUCCAGCCAUGCCGCGUGCGGGAAGAAGGUCUUCGGGUUGUAAACCGCUUUUGUCAGGGAAGAAAUCUUCUGAGUUAAUACCUCGGGAGGAUGACGGUACCUGAAGAAUAAGCACCGGCUAACUACGUGCCAGCAGCCGCGGUAAUACGUAGGGUGCAAGCGUUAAUCGGAAUUACUGGGCGUAAAGCGUGCGCAGGCGGUUUUGUAAGACAGAGGUGAAAUCCCCGGGCUCAACCUGGGAACUGCCUUUGUGACUGCAAGGCUUGAGUGCGGCAGAGGGGGAUGGAAUUCCGCGUGUAGCAGUGAAAUGCGUAGAUAUGCGGAGGAACACCGAUGGCGAAGGCAAUCCCCUGGGCCUGCACUGACGCUCAUGCACGAAAGCGUGGGGAGCAAACAGGAUUAGAUACCCCUGGUAGUCCACGCCCUAAACGAUGUCAACUGGUUGUUGGGAAGGUUCCUUCUCAGUAACGUAGCUAACGCGUGAAGUUGACCGCCUGGGGAGUACGGCCGCAAGGUUGAAACUCAAAGGAAUUGACGGGGUCAUAGCUGUUUCCUG